RNAcentral lists this ribosomal RNA (405 nucleotides) under uncultured bacterium. RNAcentral describes it as "partial 16S ribosomal RNA". It matches the Rfam family "Bacterial small subunit ribosomal RNA", at positions 28 to 526 of the family's 1533-position model. The record is from RNAcentral.
GAUGAACGCUGGCGGCGUGCCUAAUACAUGCAAGUCGAGCGAAGCGGGGAAGGGUGAGUAACACGUGGAUAACCUCCUAUACGACUGGGAUAACUUCGGGAAACCGGAGCUAAUACGGAUACUUAUAGCUGGAUCCGCGCCGAAUUAGCUAGUUGGUCAGGUAACGGCUUACCAAGGCGACGCUGCGUAGCCGACCUGAGAGGGUGAUCGGCCACACUGGACCGGAGACACGGUCCAGACUCCUACGGGAGGCAGCAGUAGGGAAUCUUCCGCAAUGGGCGAAAGCCUGACGGAGCAACGCCGCGUGAGUGAUGAAGGCCUUCGGUGCGUAAAACUCGGUUAUGAGGGAAGCGGUACCUGAUCAGAAAGCAACGGCUAACUACGUGCCAGCAGCCGCGGUAAUUC